Molecule: unclassified non-coding RNA, 3931 nt
Filed under: Hevea brasiliensis (rubber tree)
Lineage: Eukaryota; Viridiplantae; Streptophyta; Magnoliopsida; Malpighiales; Euphorbiaceae
Source: RNAcentral
AAGAAAUUGUAGAAGUUAAUAAUAAAACUGCAAUCUCUGAUUGAUACAGGAAUAUUGAAGCAUUGCAUUGAAACAAAGGCAGAGCUCACUGAGUUUUAUUUACAUUGGAACACUGGUUUUGAAAAUUUAUAUUUAUAACAACAGACAAGACAUGCAAAACAUUCCAUGCCUAAUUAAGAGACAAUUCACUCUCCAGGGUUAUACGUUUAGGAAAUUAGAUUCCAAAUAAAUAUGAGAGGCUCUUUCCAUUUCUAGACAGCUCAACCGCUUCGCAUACUAGCUUAAGGUCCAUCUUCUUGUGCUGAAUUAAGGCCAAAGAGAAAAGUUUCAUUUGAAUUAGCAAGGACACCACGCAGUAAGAGCACAAAUGCAGUCGCACAGAAACAAAGAUGGAGGGAGACUUACUACUCAAUAUAAAGCCCUGAAGCAAGCUCUGAGCUCUCUCUACUUGCUCUGGAGUACCUGAUAUUUGAAUGAUCUUUUCCGUCACUUCUGGUCUAUCUUCUAGGAGGGUUACAUUGGCUCCAGAUAACUGUCCCAUAAAAGUAGUCAUGCAGAAAUUAUUGGAGGCAAGAUCCGAAAAUUAGUCGCUAAAUGACAGCAAGUGUAGGCUCACCUCACUUAUUUGAGAAAGCUUGUUUUUUGAUUUUGUUACAAGCUUGGGAACUGCAUGGUCUGGUAUGACAAUUUCAAGUGUACUCCUAGUGACAAGUGGUUUGGGGAUUCUAACAGAAAAUGAAGAUAUAUGUUACAAAGUUGAGAAAAUAAUGCCUUCUUAUGAUGCAUGGAACAAUAGCAGCAAUACUAUAAUAAAUAAUGUGUUGCUCAAUUCAUUUAAAUAAAGCUGAAUCAGGUACCUAUUUAUUGCUGUGGGAACCUCUUCACGGCGCUCACUGUCAUUCUGCUUCACUUUUUCAGUGCCAGAUCCUCCAGCAUCCUUUGAUUGUUGUGCCACUGCUACAGCAGACUGCACAUUCUGAUAGGUUGCAGCAGGGGGUUCACCUCCACUAUGACCGUCACGAGCUGGGGUUAAGUUCUUUGGAGAAGCAGACUCCAUUCUCAGUGCAGAAGACGGUGGCGUAUCCUUCUGAAAGAACUCCUUGUACAAGUAACUCCUUAGCCUUGACGUAACUUCAACAAGAGCAUCUCGUGCUGCUUUUAUUUCCCCUUCAAUCUGUACCAGCUCAUCAGCCCCUGAUACACAAGCAGGAAGUUUUUCCUUUGGCAGGAUCUGUAUUUUUGCACCAGUUAAUCUCUCCAUCUCAGAUAAUGAUCCAUCUCUUCCCUCAAAACAUUCAAUUUCACUGGCAGAGACAAGUAACUUAGUUUUUAUUAUAUUGUCUUUAUCUGGAACAAGAUCAACAAUACGAGUUUGAAUAUGCAACAACGCCUCUUGAGCUGGAAAUAGCUCAUCAUCAGGACCCUCCUCAGAUGAAAUGAUAAUAAUUUGCUCAUCUGACCCAGAUACAGGAUCAGAAACCUUUACAUCUACACCGAUUUCAUUUUGAAGCAAAUCUACAAUGCCAUCUGUCUCUCCAACAACUUUAUUAAUCUUGUCAGUGGGGCAAAGCAUUCUAAACACAAGGUCCUCACCGUAAAAGGUCUGUGCACUGUCAUUCAUGGUAACCCCACCAUCAACUGUAUAACCGGAUUGUCGGGAGGAAUAGUUACUGCUUCUGUAAUUUGUAGCAGAUGCUCGUGAUCCAAAUGAAGGCCCAUCGACAGAUGAACGACGUGCUGUGUUAUUCAUGUGAUGAAUAUAAUCAUCAUCAGGGAAAAAUCGAUCUGGUGAGUGUAGUCUCCCAUGGAAAUUUCCCUGACUUCGAUCACGAUGCUGACUCUCCCUCAAGCGAGAUGAAAUAAUUGCUAUAGCAUUUUUCACUGCAUUCACAUCACCUACAACCUGCUUGGGAAACAAAAUGCACAAGGCUCACUCAUUAUGAUCAUUUUCAACUGACAUCAUUCUCUAUAGGUUUCUAUUUGCUAGAACAAAAAAUAGUCUCCAAGAGGUAAUAAAGGCAAGCAAAUAAAAACUCCUAUACUUCUAAAGCCCUACAUUGUCUAAGUAAUAAAAAAAGAGUAACAUUAUAGACAUCAUACCAUGCAAUUAAUAGCAAAAUCAAUUGGAUCAAGAUAGUAAACCAAUAUCCAAUUCAUGCAGUCAAGAAUCUAAUUUCCCUAUCAUAAUAAUUCACAGGAAUAUCAAUGCCCGAAUUACCUGUAUUAGCCUUUCCAUGACAUGGCUAAAGCAGGAACUUCAAUUUAAGCCAAGCUCAAAUGUAUCUUAAAUUACAGAUGUGUGUAGAGCAAACAUUUUGGAAUGAAUUUCUAAACAAACUUCACAAUGAGUUGUAUCAAACCACGAUCCCCGGUGAAACGCAUCAAUGGAACUUAUCAAUCAGGGACUCCUAAGGUUUGGAUAUUAUGUUUUUACAUCAAUGAGUAAUUAGAAAGAAGAUAUGUGCCCAAGCAGCCUCAAAAGGCAUAUAUAUAAGUUAAAAUCACCAACAAACAGCAAUGAUGCAGACAAGGAAAUGUAUUAUUCAAAUUAUGGACAGUGAAUCAAGCAACCUUUCAUGGCAAGUUAAGUAACAAGUGGUUCUCCAAUGAAGGAAUUAAAAAAAUGUAUUAGAAAACAGCACCAGCCACCAUUCUUAUGCCCACAUCAAAUCUAUGACUGCUCGUAUUAGAGUAGUUGCCCUUUAAAUAGGUCAAAUUUCAAGUAUCCAGAAAUAAAGAAGUUAUAAAUUCUUCAAACCAGUGAUUCAUUUGGGUUUCAAGUCAUCAUCUGUUCAUGUAUUGUAUAAAGUUUGUUCAACUGCCAAGCAUUGUAAAUGACUAACUCACUGCAUUUAAAGAUGAAGACAUUAAAGUGAGGCAGUAACCCGGUAACCCCCUUGAAAUAGUCCGUUUCACCAAAGCUCACAAGUGAAGUCAUAAAUUUUUAGUGAAAAGUCCGGGUAGCAGCAAUAGCCAAUAGUAAUAGUAAAGUUGGUCAAGAAAACCUGAACAAUCUCCUCAGACAUGGAAACGCAGCGGGGCAAGGUAUGAUCUCUAGGCAAAAUCCUAAUCUGGGUCUUUGUCUCAAUCCUCAUUUGCUCAAUUAUCUUCCCUCCUUUACCCAACAAACAACCGACAUGCAUUCUCGACACUACCAACCUUGUAGCCACUCUGUUUCCUCUACCCCCAUAAUCAUCCUCUUCAUUCCCAUAACCGCCGCCGUUCAUAGCAAACUGAGCAUCACUUUCAAGAAUCCUAUCAUGUAUCAAGAACAACGCCUCCUGAGCCGGCGAGAAAGCCGGUAUCCGACCCUCCGGGUCCCGCCGCCGAGUAUCGGAUAUCUCGAUGAUUCGCUCGUCAUCUCCGGGGAUCAGCUCGUGCACGUUGAUCCACGCACCAGUGUGUUGUCUAAUGGACUUGAUUAUACUGCCAGACUUGCCGAUUACACCACCGGCUUUUAUAUCGUGACAGAGAAUGCGGUAGGUGGUAGUUACCAUCAAGGACGGGUCCUGUUGCUGCUUGGAUGGGCGGUUGUUGUUGAUGGUGGUGCUGCCGCCACGAUGACGUUGGGUAUUGGGGUUGUACUGGUGAUUGUUGUACCUGGGUUUGGUCCUGCCCAUGGUGGUUUCGCUAUCAUAGUCCUGAUGAUCGUAGUAGUAGUUCCUCUUAGAUCUAGAUCUCUCCAUCUCAAAUCAGCAAAAGCAAAGGUUUCAACGAGAUUACAGGUCUUUGAUUUUCUUUGUAUCUUCUUGUCAGUCUCAAAAAUGUCCAAAGAUUCACGGUCCCAAAGUCAGAAACUGUAAGGGGCUUUCUCUGUUUGUUUCUUGGGAAAGUAGACAAAGAACGAGAGAGAAAAUUCUUGAGUCUGAGAGCAGAAACCCUAAUGAGGGAAGAGAAGAAGAAUCAGAAGCUGAUAACGAAGAAGAAGAAG